RNAcentral lists this long non-coding RNA (7859 nucleotides) under Musa acuminata (dwarf banana). Its description in RNAcentral is "long non-coding RNA (MACU_LNC008319)". Lineage: Eukaryota; Viridiplantae; Streptophyta; Magnoliopsida; Zingiberales; Musaceae. The record is from RNAcentral.
UGGUUCUUACCUUUGAAUAGCAUUCUGAUUUGAUAUUGUUAGUCUUAGUCGACAUAUUCUGACUUUGGAACUGCCACUACACAACAUUACCUUAACUGACGUAAGGCGAUAUCGGUCUUUCCGGUAGUUGUUUGUAUUCUAUACUUUGGAGGUUGGUUCCUAUUAGUACUACUAGUUCGAGAGAUCCCUAGCAGUGAAUUUGAUUCUUGUUUCUAAGUUGUCAUUCCUUAAGUACACAUCUCGUCCGGUGGGAACCUUUGCAGUAGGGAAGAUUCAAUGAACGCCCCUUAAUCGUUGGCAUUCUUCUGAGCAUACUCAAUUCCUUAUGAACUAUCAGAUGCAUCCUGACUUUCAUGCUUGUACUGGACCACAACUCGUUUAAGGCUUGAACUGAAUCUUUCUCUUUAACCUAUAUGAACCAGAGCUUAUAGCUGCUAAUCACUUAUUGAAACUCAUAAAUUGUCCUCUCGCAAUGCAUUUGGAUUAAUAACAUAGACAGAACCGUGGUAGUUCCUAAUAAGGCUUAGGCGCAGUGCUCAAAAUUCCAUAAAGUAUUAGUUGACUCAACUGUCUUGACUGCUCGUUUAAAAGGACCCGUUUCAAGUUGAUUCAACCCCGCCCGGUUUAAGUAGCUCGCCUUUGCUUGUUCCCCGCUCUGUCAGUUCUUAUUCUUAUUCUAAACAAACGAGCUCACAAAGGACAGAGAGCCUACAGAGACCACAGCAAAAACAGAAUUCAAAACAAACGAGCUCACAAAGGACAGAGAGCCUACAGAGACCACAGCCCAAAAGCAAAGCCGAAAGCCAAGAAAAGAAGAAAGUUGGCUAUCUCGCAUCAAUCUUCUUCCUCUUCCCAAGUUUCGCUCAAACGGAGGAUACGACGACCCUCUUCUAUUUCAUCUACGUGAGCUCUAACAGUACCCCCGUUGAUUUUCAGAGUCACCUCCCCCAAUGCUUCCAAUGUGAAAGGAUAGAAAUAAUGCACAUUACCCGGAGAUUCACACUUUUGGAAUGUCCAUUCCUUAUUAUGCGUGAAGCUUAGUGCAAGCGAACUGGAAAUGGAGAACCCUUUGAUGUAAGCUUGAAUAGGCCAUGAAGCAUAAGAAGCCGACUCCUUCUUAGUAAAUUCUUUAUCUAGACAGGACCACUACAGCUUGCUUGAUACUCGAGUAAACCGUACAAUACUUUCCGCUCAUCAUUUCAUUUUCUCUUUUCUUUCUAUAAUAUUACCUUUUGAGUAAACAAAGAAUUGAUUGAAUCUCACUCGCUAAUAUAGGAGUAAGUGAAGCGACUGCUUUCCAAGGCCUUAAUCAUAUCCAUCCCUCUCCUCUCCCCCAUGCACAAGGUUAUCCUCAAGACUAGUUGAUUAUGAGGAUCUAGUCUUAAGUUAAGUUCUGGCUACUUUUUGCAUAGAUCUAAUAUUCUUUCCUUUCUUGUUUAAGUAAGGCAUAGUGUAGUGGCCAUCAUACAUUAAAGCAAAUGGAAUCACUCCUUUACCUUGAUCGAUAGACUUACGGCCGACCCGACCCCUUUUUUUGAAUUGAAAGAAAUCUGUUGUCAUAGUUACCGUCCCAUGGCCCACGACUUGGGAAUCCGACUCUUUUAUUGCUGCAGUUAGCUCCUAAUUCCUCUUCGGCGGAAGAGAUGGGCGCUUAGUUUUCACUUAAUCCCUUUCCUUUAUUCCUUCUUAACCUGCGUACACACCUGUAACUCAUCUUUUUCCAGGUUAUGCUAUGCCAUUCCAUUUAUCCUAUUUUACGGGUUAUGCUAUGCCAUUCUAUUAAUCCGACAAUCUUAGUGCUGUACCUAGGCAUUCUCUCUAUUUUAUUACUCAUUGAAAGAAGCCUGCUUGACUAUUGCUAUCUUUCCCAUGUCGCAUAUCGGCGGUCUCUUCCUUUUACAAGACUUGGUAAAGUGGCUCGAAGCAUUAAGAUGACGGAGAAAGAUUAGGUGCUGAAAGCCUGUAUAAAAGAAAUAAGGCGGAUUUCGGGAAGCCCUUGAGUCAGAAGGAGAGUAGUUUGACCAACAUAUCAGACAGAGCUGCUUUCGAAUGAAAAGAAAAUAUCCUAGAGCUCCUGCUUUUUGAAUUCCGUAUUGGACUUGAAAGCAGAGACGGGAGAGCUAGCCUUCCUUCGUUGGAUUGGAUAAUACUACGGCAGGAAAAGCUGGAAAGAGCAGAACACUUGAUUGACAGCAGCGACUUCUGCUUUUUUCAGACGAAGGCCGCUCCUCUUAUGAAAUACUCCAUCUUGUAUGAUACUUUAUAUAUGUCUAGAAGGUUAACUAUCCAGAAUGAAGGGAAAAACUGCUGUUAAGCUAUUACGGGAAAACGGAGCUGUUAAGCAAUUAAGGGAAAACAUACUGCUGUUAAAGUGAAGCACAUUAAAAUAGGAAUGGAAAAGAAAGAGUUAAGUGAUUGCACAGAUAUGAGUCUUUGUUGACCGACUGUGUACCCUUUGACUGCUAUUGAUAUGGCACUUUCAUUACUAUUGGAAUCAAAGCAUUGGUCUUGGUACCGUACUGGCUUGAAAUGAGCGUCUGACUUCGCUUGUUCCUGGGUUACCUAAAAGAACUAGAGCGCUUCCUUCGCACCUUGAUUGAUAGACGGAUCAUACCAGUUUUUGACUUGCUUUGACUUAAUAGACUUCAACAGUUGGGAGGGACUUGGGACAAAUAUGGGAUUCUCAAAUAAUACAGGAGCUUAGCGCACUAGGAAUUGGAGUCAAAUCAUUCCCCGGAACAGCUGAGUGAACGUCCCGAGCUCACACUACUAGAAUUAUGCCCCGUUACGCUCUUAAUACAGGAUCGUGUGAAAGUAAGGUUUCUUUGUAAUUGGGAUAGGUGUUAAUUCUUAUGUAUCUAUCCUCUGAAGGAAGCGGACAUGAGAAUCAUCAUUAGGCUCGAGCAAGAAUGAAAGGAAUGGCUGAAAUGGAUCCCUAUUCCAUAGAAGAAAUACAUCCAUAUUACAUAGAUUUAGCAUACUAUAAUUGACUUCUUCCCUAAAUAACUUAUAGAAUGACUCCAUGUAAGACAAGAUGAACCAGAUUCCAUUUUCAGGAGUUUCAACUCAUUCCGUUAUUACACCAGGUAAAUGCUCAAUAUCCAAGUAGACUUAGCAUUUGGAUUAAGUGCUUUUUGGAUUGUCUCAUUUCUGUGGAUUGGUGUUUAUACCCUAGAUUUUCUUACAUACUUUUAUGACAUACCUCCUCUAUUUUGUUACAUACUAAGUCUUCACUUGUUACUCCAGAAGUCUAGCUUGCUCUGUCUGUGUUCUUCCUGAUUCCUUAGAUUUAUUAUAUAACUCCGAUCCGAUAGUAUGUAUUAUAGAUUGGGAUCGAUGCAUAGGAAAUGAAUGCAUUUCUACACUAUAAGAAAGUAAGUGAAUGCAUUUCUACACUAUAAGAAAGUAAGUGGACUAUACAGAACAUUGAAUCAUGCCACAUCACAUAUUGGAUUCUAAGGGUAAGGGAUCUUACGGAGCCUGUUCAUGCAUAACAUGAUUCAGGUAUGAUCAUAGAAUCGGUUCUCUUCAAACGAACCGGCCUAUCCUGAGCUCAAUAGGGGACUGUAGUGAUGGUUGGAUGUGGAGACACAUUUGGUUGUGAAUUCCAACGUAGGAGGAGAGAUCGGAAUCUAUAUCCAUUUGCGCAGAGCAGAUCAAAUUGCUAUUUGCGCAGAGAAAAUGGAAUCUAUAUCUAUACUUUAUUAGUGUGUAAACUAUAAAAACGAGUCAAAGUGGAUUGGCCCACACUAGCACUUCCGCGUAAUAACUCUACCAAAGGCGAUCCUAUGUACAGGAAUUGCUUUCAGGUAAGCCUGUGACAAUGAAUGACUGCCCAAUAACCAAUUUGGUCCCGAGGUAAGGAAUAACCAGUUACACCAAAAGAUGCCUACAGCCGACACCUGUAACACAAGUAGAUUAGCGGGGUUUUUGAAUCACUUGUAAGGUACACACGAAAUACGUGCAAGAUCAUCAUUAGAACCAUCAUACUUGCUGACCAUCGAGAAACAGAUCGGAUUCACCAACCAAAGUGGGCCUCAGUCAUGUAGUAUUGAAAAGAGUCAAAAGCCUCUGUAAUGGUUAGACGGUAGUAACAAAGUAAUAGCUGUAGCUACUUGUACUCGAAGUCAGUGUUCCACCCCUUUACACAAUCCAAUAUGUUGACAUGAGGAGGAAGAUAUUGACUUGUUAGUUAUAUAUAGAUAAUAUGUAAUCGCCUAGAUAAUAUGUAAUCGCCUGAAUGGAAUCUCAAGACGUUGCUCAAACCAAUCAUAUACUACUUCUUUAAGACAGCAAGGCCAAGGCUCUGAAAAACCAUAUAUGCAAAUGGUUUCUUGUAUCGGCUCAAGCAGAAACACACAAAUCAGGAUUUCAACGGAUAUGUAAUAGAAAGGUCAACACUUCUUAGCUUAGCCGCUGAAAGGUCAACACUUCUUAGCUUAGCCGCUGGGAUUUGCCCCGGAGAGUGAAAAGAAGUAAAGACAGAAUAAAAGAUAGUAAGUAAAGGCGGAUAAUGCCCUCCAGGAGUAUAGGCUCAGGAAACAGUAAAGCGAGGGUCAAUCAUUGUUAUUGGUAGUUCGAGUCUAAAGAUGCAGUGGUUUAUUCCCUUUAUCGGUAAUGUUAGUUCCAAAGCAAGUAGAUAAAUACUUUCUAUAAGGUUUGGUAGGCGCUGAGGGCAGUAGGGGCAGGCCGAUAGAAGGGAGAGUGAGCUUUGAAGUAAGUAGUGAGAGCCUAAGUUAUGUAGCUAAGUACAAGAAUAAGUCGUUUAGUUCCGGGGUUUGGAUCCAGCUUUUAGUAAUCCAGUAGCGGGAAAGCAAGCAGCAGUCUAAACUAGAGCAAUUAGAACUCUUUGCCAAAGCAAGCUGGAGUCUUCAAAGCUAGAGCAGAGGCUCUUAGCACCUUUUCUUUUGAUUGAGAGCUUUAUUUAGUGUUCUUAAAAGGCUAAUUCCCUUAAGCUUAUUUUGUUAGAGUACCUCCCCUCUUAGGUAAAGGGCAUCCGGUGCUGGUGUAAUUUCAUUCCUUCUGUCCCAGUUCCAGUUGCUAGCCAAAUCUCAUUAAGUGAAGCUCAGCCCUUUCAUCAUGGGAUGGGCGAACUUCCCAAACGGCUGAAAACCGCUUUCCAUUUAUUCAACUAAACCCUUAUUGAUAUGGAUAUGGAAACCGGACUUCCCUUUGCCCUUCUAUGCCUGUAUGGAAAGAAGUAAGCAUGAAGCCUCUGAAUCAGACUAGCUCAAAGCCAGCCCCCUUGUAUUAACACAAUGCUCCUACUUUACUUACUCUCAAUUCAAGGUUGAUUCCCCAUACAUAUACGACAAUUAGGCUCACAUCAGACCUAUACUGUCCUGUCUGUCUACUCGAAAAUAGUUGUUAGUGAAGAAGGGAGUCCCUUACUUAUCAUUCAGAAAUCAAGAAAAUACCAGGGUAGAAGAGAACCAGAUAAGCUCGUACCAACGAAGAAGACACGCAGAAGUUGAUAGAUUCGGAGCACGAACUAGUUGAGAUGUAGUGUCCAUUCAUUCCAUUCACAUCGGUACGGGGCACGCCGAGGAACUAUCCUGCGCUGUGCAUACCUGGCUCAGCCAUUAGAGUCAUUUUCCAUUCAAGGCAAACUGACCACCACCAACAAAUCCAUCGAAGAAUUCCUUAUCCGAAGGAAAGUGUUGAAAACGCAAUGCUAUGCUGCUUUAGGAAGGGUGUAAACAGGACUUGGUAAUGCGAAGAAAGGAACGAAAACUGGUGGACGAACAAAGGAAUAAUUCCCGAGUGCCCGGACCUUCCACGAGCGAUGCCGACCGAACAAAGACAGAAUGAAUGGUAGCUCUAAGACUUGGUUGGGUGGAUGGUUACUUGAAGGUACUGCUCGAUGAAUAGGUGAUGUCCCUUUAAGAAUGCGCUUAGAUACUUGAUGAAGGAAUGAAUGGUUCUACCUCUUCUCCUUUUUGCUAUGCUUUUCCUCUUUUUGAUACGCUGAUGUUUCUCUAUUACAAUAUAUGUAUGGUAUAUGUACAAUAUAUGGUAUAUGUUAGCGACAAUGGCGUAUCUUUAACAAGGCGAGAAGCAGAGAUAGUAUACCUUACCUCCGUGGGGAAGAAUAGAUCGAACCUCCGUGGGGAAGAAUAUGUUAUGAACCCCCGUGGGGAAGGGAGUUUGCAGAUAUAGGAUCUCUCUCGUUAUUGUUAUUAUAGUAUAGUGGUAUUUUGAUAGAUGGUAUAGAACCUCUUCUAGUGUAGAUGGUGCCUUACUUACUUAUAUCGAUAAUAGGAUAUUCCCCGAAAAGAGAGAAUCAACCUAGUGCUGAUGGGAACCCAAUUACGGAUAAACCCUAUACUGGCCAACAAGUCUAACCUUAACGCUAUUGGACUGACUUUGCUGAUCUCAGAUCUUCACUCCCCUUCCAUCAUUCUGACUAUACUUAUUUGAAUUGUGUGACUACUUAGAACAACACCGCCUAACAGGCUCUCUUUACUGACUGUGAUUCUAGGACCGCAGCAUCGGAUCCUCACCUUACUUAACCAUGCUUUCCAGGCAAUGAAACAAGGGAUGCUAGGAUGAAAGUCAGAAGAAAACUCCGGAUACGUGGAAUGAACAUGCGGGGGGCCAUUGGGUGCUAAUAAUUAUAGUAGGUGUAUGAGUUCGGUGCUAUUAGCUUCUUGUUGGAUUCCUCUGAUAUUCCUUUCAAUCUAAUACAUCUAGCGAUGGUUCUUACUUUCGAGUUUCAGUCCUGUGCAUUGAUUAAAGUAUCCGAAUCGGGAGUUACAGAAUGGUAGUGAACCUGUUAGUUUGGGGUUAUUCUUAGUAAUAUUCUAUUGAUUAGUAGCGGUGUUUGUUUGAAACAGUAUAGCGGUCAGUAGCUCUAUAGCAUGAAAGUUAGGUGCUGAAAGCGAGUUGGAAUCGAGGCUAAUAGAGAAAUAAGUUCUAAAGUCUGUUAGGCGCUAGUUCAUUCGUCGACUUAUGAGUGCUAUUCUAUUAAUGUAUAACAUACGCUAUAUUUCUCGUAUCCCUUAGAAGCUAAAGAAAGAAAGUCAGCAAACAGUGUUAGGUUGAAUCAAUAGAAAGGGCAUUGAUAUCGGGAAUGGCAUACCUAAACUUUCAAUAAGGAAUGGAAGGGAGAAAACUGUACUAGCUCAUAGCUCAUUAAUAUAUAUGGAAUUAGUUACUUACUCUCUAUGCCUUCGGGUGCUGAAAUAAGGCAUGGAGGUUGAAAACAAUGGAAUGGGAAUCUAGCUUGGCAGUAGAAGGAUCAAAGGUGAAAUACGGAGUGAGAUGAAGUAGCGGUAGGCCAACAACCGAACAUAUGAAUUGAAAGCCCGGAAUGACGUAGUGAGAUAAGGUAGAGACGUACUUGGAGUUAGGAGCGGUGGACUCAAGUUUAUAAGGACUACUAGAUAGAGUUCUUUAGCUGUGUUUUCAUUGUGAUCGGUACUAGGUGCAUUGUUAGGGGAUUGAUUCUAUUCUCUUAUAAUAUAUCAUAAUAUAGUUUGUUCAGUGCUCUUAUAAGAUAGUUUACUCAAGGAUAGUUUGAUCAGUGCCAAUUGCCAAUGUUAUUCUUUCUUUCCACGUUUCAUUCUCUGGGGACACUGACACCACACUUCUGACUUUAGAGUGGAAUUAUGUAGUUCUGCUCGCAUUCUUCCUUUCGAGUUCAAUCCGUUAGGGUACAGUAGAAUUCCAAGUUUCCAGUUCUAUCCUUUGCAUUAGUAAUAGCAUUCUCGGUUCCAUUCUUGUAUGCCCUUCCAUGUUUUCUCGUACUAGCCCCUUUCUUGUUAGCAGAGGAAUCAGAUUUGGAUGUGAGUAAGCUGUGGGAGACCCCAGUUCGAACUACAGAAUGGAAAUAGGGUUUUCGAGCUAGUAUAGUAAGA